GAAAUGCGAUAAGUAAUGUGAAUUGCAGAAUUCAGUGAAUCAUCGAAUCUUUGAACGCACAUUGCGCCCGCCGGCAUUCCGGCGGGCAUGCCUGUCCGAGCGUCAUUUCAACCCUCAGGGUCCCCCGCCCAGCGCGGACGGGCCCUGGCGUUGGGGAUCGGCCCGCCCCGCGCGGCGCCGUCCCCCAAAUUCAGUGGCGGUCCCGCCGCAGCCUCCCCUGCGCAGUAGUUACCAACUCGCACUGGAGCGCGGCGCGGCCACGCCGUAAAACCCCCGACUUCUGGAAAGUUGACCUCGGAUCAGGUAGGAAUACCCGCUGAACUUAA
This 326-nucleotide unclassified non-coding RNA is filed under the name uncultured Striatibotrys. RNAcentral describes it as "sequence contains ITS1". The stretch from base 1 to 105 matches the Rfam family "5.8S ribosomal RNA", at positions 50 to 154 of the family's 154-position model. Lineage: Eukaryota; Fungi; Ascomycota; Sordariomycetes; Hypocreales; Stachybotryaceae. The record is from RNAcentral.